This 71-nucleotide transfer RNA is filed under the name Bos taurus (domestic cattle). It matches the Rfam family "tRNA". Rfam says of the family: Transfer RNA (tRNA) molecules are approximately 80 nucleotides in length. Their secondary structure includes four short double-helical elements and three loops (D, anti-codon, and T loops). Further hydrogen bonds mediate the characteristic L-shaped molecular structure. tRNAs have two regions of fundamental functional importance: the anti-codon, which is responsible for specific mRNA codon recognition, and the 3' end, to which the tRNAs corresponding amino acid is attached (by aminoacyl-tRNA synthetases). tRNAs cope with the degeneracy of the genetic code in two manners: having more than one tRNA (with a specific anti-codon) for a particular amino acid; and 'wobble' base-pairing, i.e. permitting non-standard base-pairing at the 3rd anti-codon position. RNAcentral also lists the same sequence under 1 other name. Lineage: Eukaryota; Metazoa; Chordata; Mammalia; Artiodactyla; Bovidae. The record is from Rfam by way of RNAcentral.
ACAUGGGUGGUUCAGUGGUAGAAUUCUCGCCUGCUAUGCAGGAGGCCAGGGUUCAAUUUCCAGCCCAUGCA